This 548-nucleotide ribosomal RNA is filed under the name uncultured Glomus. RNAcentral's name for it is "SSU rRNA". It matches the Rfam family "Eukaryotic small subunit ribosomal RNA", at positions 548 to 1098 of the family's 1831-position model. The record is from RNAcentral. Lineage: Eukaryota; Fungi; Glomeromycota; Glomeromycetes; Glomerales; Glomeraceae.
UUGGAGGGCAAGUCUGGUGCCAGCAGCCGCGGUAAUUCCAGCUCCAAUAGCGUAUAUUAAAGUUGUUGCAGUUAAAAAGCUCGUAGUUGAAUUUCGAGACCGGCUUAUUGGUCGUGCUAUUGUACGUACUGGUAUAAUCGGUUUCUCCUUUCUGACGAACUAUAAUGCCAUUAAUUUGGUGUUAUAGGGAAUCAGGACUGUUACUUUGAAAAAAUUAGAGUGUUUAAAGCAGGCUCACGCUUGAAUACAUUAGCAUGGAAUAACGGAAUAGGACGUUUGAUUCUAUUUUGUUGGUUUCUAGGAUCGACGUAAUGAUUAAUAGGGAUAGUUGGGGGCAUUGGUAUUCAAUUGUCAGAGGUGAAAUUCUUGGAUUUAUUGAAGACUAACUACUGCGAAAGCAUUUGCCAAGGAUGUUUUCAUUAAUCAAGAACGAAAGUUAGGGGAUCGAAGACGAUCAGAUACCGUCGUAGUCUUAACCAUAAACUAUGCCGACUAGGGAUCGGAUGAUGUUAAUUUUUUAAUGACUCAUUCGGCGCCUUACGGGAAAC